GGAGAGAUGCCGGAGCGGUCGAACGGGGCGGUCUCGAAAACCGUUGUGGGGGGUGACUCCACCCAGGGUUCGAAUCCCUGUCUCUCCGCCA
RNAcentral lists this transfer RNA (91 nucleotides) under Amaricoccus sp. HAR-UPW-R2A-40. Its description in RNAcentral is "tRNA-Ser". It matches the Rfam family "tRNA". Rfam says of the family: Transfer RNA (tRNA) molecules are approximately 80 nucleotides in length. Their secondary structure includes four short double-helical elements and three loops (D, anti-codon, and T loops). The record is from RNAcentral. Lineage: Bacteria; Pseudomonadati; Pseudomonadota; Alphaproteobacteria; Rhodobacterales; Paracoccaceae.